This 1574-nucleotide long non-coding RNA is filed under the name Polistes fuscatus (common paper wasp). RNAcentral describes it as "uncharacterized LOC122522357, transcript variant X2". Lineage: Eukaryota; Metazoa; Arthropoda; Insecta; Hymenoptera; Vespidae. The record is from RNAcentral.
GUGGAUACUGCUAUAUGGCAGCAGUAGUACCGAAAGGGUUAAUAUGUUCAUUAAAGCCGCUAAGUUGUAUUCUAAGCCAGAAAAAUCAUGUUACAUAGACAGGAAAUUUAUAUCACUGUGAGGCAAAGAUUAAAAUUUAGAUAGUGCAACAGAAUUUUCUUUUGUCCUUCACCUGGCGAGACCUUUGUCAGUGACUGUCGGGGCUUUAGUUUUGACGUAUUAACGUCAAAUAUAUUAAUAUUUGUUUACUAUAUGUUAGGAACCAGUUAGUUUCUUAACUAAUAAAAUUCUAUUGCCCGUUCGUGCAGUCACAGCUAACAGUCGAAGAUGUAAGACAAACACAAAUCGUGUAAAGUUGGAUGACCCAAUGAAAGGAAAUACGAGAUGAUGAUAAUAAUUCAGUAAGCAAGAGAAAGGUUGAAACAUGAAUACUAGAGCAUGAUCGACUGUAGUAUUGAGAGCUUCUUCCAGUGUAUAAGAGCCUAAAUCAACGAAACCAUGCAGCUGCAUUGUUCGUUGAUUUAAUUUUAUAGCUUCGCUUAAAGCUACUUCAUCGAGCAGUAAAGUACCUAUGAAAUGGAGAAAAAUAAUAUCUAUCAAUACAUGUGUAAUUCGGAAUAUGACAUUGUAAGCAUUUAUGAAGCUAAUGAGAAGACUAAAAAGUGAUAAAUACAAUUAUCAAAGGAAAGAAUAGCAGUAGCAAAGGCUGGUAAGAUAGAAUGAACCAAAAAGCAGAUUAAUUACUGAAAAGUUAUCUUCAGUAGCUUGUUACUAUUAUUAGUAUUCUCAGCAAGUAUUUUAUUAUAAAGCAUUAGUGUUGUUUAGUUGUUAAUUUGCAAGUAUGUUUUGUAAUAAUAAUUAGUUCUACAAUUUGCUGUCACACGCAAACUACAAAUGAUAUUAGGUAUACCCCUUUUCUUGUUAACUUCCAUGCGAGAACCUUUCAAUUUAAGGGUUUCAAAGAGAACUUUGGAAAAACCAAAAGCGCUAUCUAAUUUCUGGAUGUAUUUCUGGAGGGUAUCUUUACAGGGUAAAGAUCGAACAAAUUGUUUAUUUCCAAGAAUGUACUCCAAAUAAUUCUUAUCUUAAGAAUAUAUUUGAUGAAUUUACUUUAAAGUCUACUGUGAUAAAUUAUACAAAAAUGAGAAGAAGAAUUAAAAGGAAAAUUUAUAAGAAUACUUUUGCUAACAUGAACGUCGUUAAAAUUUUUAUUUGGUUUUAAUUAGAUCUCAGAUAUAGAAGGUAUAUGUAAUUCAAGUGAAUCCAAUAUAUGAAAUAUAUUAUAAAUGAUAUCUCAAUACCAUAAAUUUGAUUAUGGAUGUCAAUAAGGAAAAACUUACCUAUAAACAUUCUACUCCUAUCAAAAUUAGUGAAGGAAAUAUUACAGAAAACACAACAAAUAGCUAUUUAUCAGAAGACACUAAUUGUACGGCUAAUUCGAGUGAAUUAUUUUCAGAUAAUGAGAAUGAGAAUAUAAAUGAAAAUGAUUUGAUAUGUUAUACACCUAAUGUUUCAGAAAAUGAGACUUCGUUUUUGAAUAUCUCUGAAACGUCUUUAUUAGAUACCAAUAAACU